UUAAGUUAUUAAGGGCGCACGGUGGAUGCCUUGGCACUAGAAGCCGAUGAAGGACGUUACUAACGACGAUAUGCUUUGGGGAGCUGUAAGUAAGCUUUGAUCCAGAGAUUUCCGAAUGGGGAAACCCAGCAUGAGUUAUGUCAUGUUAUCGAUAUGUGAAUACAUAGCAUAUCAGAAGGCACACCCGGAGAACUGAAACAUCUUAGUACCCGGAGGAAGAGAAAGAAAAUUCGAUUCCCUUAGUAGCGGCGAGCGAAACGGGAAGAGCCCAAACCAACAAGCUUGCUUGUUGGGGUUGUAGGACACUCUAUACGGAGUUACAAAGGACGACAUUAGACGAAUCAUCUGGAAAGAUGAAUCAAAGAAGGUAAUAAUCCUGUAGUCGAAAAUGUUGUCUCUCUUGAGUGGAUCCUGAGUACGACGGAGCACGUGAAAUUCCGUCGGAAUCUGGGAGGACCAUCUCCUAAGGCUAAAUACUCUCUAGUGACCGAUAGUGAACCAGUACCGUGAGGGAAAGGUGAAAAGCACCCCGGAAGGGGAGUGAAAUAGAACCUGAAACCGUGUGCUUACAAGUAGUCAGAGCCCGUUAAUGGGUGAUGGCGUGCCUUUUGUAGAAUGAACCGGCGAGUUACGAUUUGAUGCAAGGUUAAGCAGUAAAUGUGGAGCCGUAGCGAAAGCGAGUCUGAAUAGGGCGUUUAGUAUUUGGUCGUAGACCCGAAACCAGGUGAUCUACCCUUGGUCAGGUUGAAGUUCAGGUAACACUGAAUGGAGGACCGAACCGACUUACGUUGAAAAGUGAGCGGAUGAACUGAGGGUAGCGGAGAAAUUCCAAUCGAACCUGGAGAUAGCUGGUUCUCUCCGAAAUAGCUUUAGGGCUAGCCUCAAGUGAUGAUUAUUGGAGGUAGAGCACUGUUUGGACGAGGGGCCCCUCUCGGGUUACCGAAUUCAGACAAACUCCGAAUGCCAAUUAAUUUAACUUGGGAGUCAGAACAUGGGUGAUAAGGUCCGUGUUCGAAAGGGAAACAGCCCAGACCACCAGCUAAGGUCCCAAAAUAUAUGUUAAGUGGAAAAGGAUGUGGCGUUGCCCAGACAACUAGGAUGUUGGCUUAGAAGCAGCCAUCAUUUAAAGAGUGCGUAAUAGCUCACUAGUCGAGUGACACUGCGCCGAAAAUGUACCGGGGCUAAACAUAUUACCGAAGCUGUGGAUUGUCCUUUGGACAAUGGUAGGAGAGCGUUCUAAGGGCGUUGAAGCAUGAUCGUAAGGACAUGUGGAGCGCUUAGAAGUGAGAAUGCCGGUGUGAGUAGCGAAAGACGGGUGAGAAUCCCGUCCACCGAUUGACUAAGGUUUCCAGAGGAAGGCUCGUCCGCUCUGGGUUAGUCGGGUCCUAAGCUGAGGCCGACAGGCGUAGGCGAUGGAUAACAGGUUGAUAUUCCUGUACCACCUAUAAUCGUUUUAAUCGAUGGGGGGACGCAGUAGGAUAGGCGAAGCGUGCGAUUGGAUUGCACGUCUAAGCAGUAAGGCUGAGUAUUAGGCAAAUCCGGUACUCGUUAAGGCUGAGCUGUGAUGGGGAGAAGACAUUGUGUCUUCGAGUCGUUGAUUUCACACUGCCGAGAAAAGCCUCUAGAUAGAAAAUAGGUGCCCGUACCGCAAACCGACACAGGUAGUCAAGAUGAGAAUUCUAAGGUGAGCGAGCGAACUCUCGUUAAGGAACUCGGCAAAAUGACCCCGUAACUUCGGGAGAAGGGGUGCUCUUUAGGGUUAACGCCCAGAAGAGCCGCAGUGAAUAGGCCCAAGCGACUGUUUAUCAAAAACACAGGUCUCUGCUAAACCGUAAGGUGAUGUAUAGGGGCUGACGCCUGCCCGGUGCUGGAAGGUUAAGAGGAGUGGUUAGCUUCUGCGAAGCUACGAAUCGAAGCCCCAGUAAACGGCGGCCGUAACUAUAACGGUCCUAAGGUAGCGAAAUUCCUUGUCGGGUAAGUUCCGACCCGCACGAAAGGCGUAACGAUUUGGGCACUGUCUCAACGAGAGACUCGGUGAAAUCAUAGUACCUGUGAAGAUGCAGGUUACCCGCGACAGGACGGAAAGACCCCGUGGAGCUUUACUGUAGCCUGAUAUUGAAAUUCGGCACAGCUUGUACAGGAUAGGUAGGAGCCUUUGAAACGUGAGCGCUAGCUUACGUGGAGGCGCUGGUGGGAUACUACCCUAGCUGUGUUGGCUUUCUAACCCGCACCACUUAUCGUGGUGGGAGACAGUGUCAGGCGGGCAGUUUGACUGGGGCGGUCGCCUCCUAAAAGGUAACGGAGGCGCUCAAAGGUUCCCUCAGAAUGGUUGGAAAUCAUUCAUAGAGUGUAAAG
RNAcentral lists this ribosomal RNA (2355 nucleotides) under Staphylococcus aureus M0183. RNAcentral describes it as "bacterial LSU rRNA". It matches the Rfam family "Bacterial large subunit ribosomal RNA", at positions 3 to 2356 of the family's 2925-position model. Lineage: Bacteria; Bacillati; Bacillota; Bacilli; Caryophanales; Staphylococcaceae. The record is from RNAcentral.